UCUACGCCAAUGGCAGUACAGGCCAGGUGUUGGAAGAUUUUAACUGUUGAUCAUAUCAAGCCGAGCUAACCACUGUUAAUGUAAGCUACAUCUAAAGUACAUAGAGCUGGAUACCAUUCAUAACAUCAAAUGGGGGUGCCUACGUGGGUGGGUGUUGUGUUGAAACUCCGUAUACGUGAAAGGGCCGGGUUGAGGCUUUGCACGCCAGCAAUGGAGAAGUUGCAUCAUCAGAUGAGCAGACAACUUCUUUCGUCAGUUGGAAUGUCGUCAUAAUUAUAGGCUAUAGCACAUACUUAAAAAAAGCCCAGCCCAUCCCGUUUCCCACACUUCUGAUUCCAGACCCGAGAAGAAGAGUUGAAGAAGAUCUCCAGAAGACUGCAGCUGUCUCACCGCGAACGUCCUGACAAGAAACUCGGUGAGUCAACACCAUGAGGCUGUUCGUCUGUAUGCUGCUUGUGACGAUGGUUUUCACCGCAGUGCUUAUUGACCACUCGGAGGGCUUCAUAGUGUUUGCUAGGCGCCGUCGAUCUAAGCUGGAAAAUGAAGAGCUGCCGGGGUACGAGAAAGAAACGAGGUCCCUCAUGGAAAUCCUGAAAGACCUGUUGGAUGACGUGGAUGAGCAGCUUGACGCACGUGCACAGGAGGUACGGGAUCCAGAGGAGCAAGAAGACGCCCUGAUGCGACGCUGACCCCUGUACCCGGCAUGGCAGCCUACCGGAUCAACGGAAGACCGGCGUUUCCAGUGAUGACCAAAAAAUAAACACUGGGUUGACAAAUAAAAGUCAUGAAAACGUUGAGUAUUAUUUGUGCAGUGUGACUUAUUUCUAAGAACUUGUGAUAUCGCUGGCCUUGUGUUCGUAGUUAUGAUCGAAGUCGUAGGAAUAAAGUAGAGUGGCAGGAUUGGAAUGUGACAGGAAGAGAAGGCCAAAAGACUUGCACAUUGACAGGAAGUAGAAUUCCGUAUGUGUGGGUGUGUGUGUGUGUGUGUCACUGUGUGUGUGAGUUUGUGUGUGUGUGUGUGUGUGAAGCCAUGCAGUGGGUCUAUUAACCUCCAUGAUCCAACGAUAAAACAGAAUAAACAAGUUACCUGAAAGUGUCAUGCAUGCAGGCUUAUUUUUCAUGUAAUUCGAGUUUUUCUUCAGUUUUUACUCGCAAGGUGCAUGGAAUCUUGGUAGACUUGCUGACGUCAAACUUGUCUUUCUUGUCUAAACUAGUACUAUCUAUGGUGGUUCGAGGUUUGUAACUGUUGCUAAUUUCACUAGGAAGGUCUGAACAAAAUAACGGAGAUGCCACGGUCUCCCACACCAAACAAUCCAAUAUUAAUAUACCUUUAUCAUGUGAAUUUCACUUGCAACUCAAGUGUUGCUGAAAUUAUUGAACCCAAGGUACGCGGAGUGAAAAUAAAGGUAUACACCAAGUACUGAGCAGUGUGGAAAAAUUAAGUGUGUCGAUCCUUACUCCCUUUUGAAUAAAUCGGCGACAAUGGGGACCACUAUUUAACAAAAAUAUAGAUGUUUUCAUGUACAUAUCAAAGAGUAGUAGUGGCGGCUCCCACUAUAGAUUUUUUUACAUCAAAACUUGGUAUAAAAAAAAAACACAUAAACACAGAAAUCAUCGGACGUCAGAGACUUUACAAAUUCUUUAUUUGAAGGUCCUCAUCAAAAAUGAUCCAAAACAUAAUCUCAAGAAAUAUAUAUGCAGAUAGUUUUCUGUCCUCAGGGUCUGGGCAGUCGUAGUCGCUGUUGUCUGUGUCUCCUAGAAAAGAAAGAAACCGGUAAGGAUCUGUAACACAUGAAAACUACUGCCGAAAACAUUCAAAGAAGGACAGGUGAAUAUUUGUGCGUUCAAAGAUUUUAUAAUUAGUUAAGAUAUAAUGGCAUUAACUGAUUAAAACAUGUUUUCCUUUUCGGUAACGCUAGUUCACAUUUAUCCAUAGGGUGACCUUUAUCCGUUGUCUUUAAAAACAGCACAUUUAGGAGUAUUAAGUCUGCUGACAGCGGUUUCAAAUUUGCAAUAUUUUGACAAUGCUCCGAUUUGAAACCACCGUCCGUCAACUUCAUAUCCCUAAAUAAGUUUUUUCUUACAAACAACUAAUAUAGGUUACCCUCGGAUAAAGGUGAACCAGCGUUACACACUCAAGCAAGACGUCACAACAACGAUCGAAGUAAAGUACAAUGCAGCAUUUAGUGAACAACAAACGUAUGAAGCUCUCUCCAACCACAUGACUGUGUGUGUAAACGUAAAAAAAAGUGUAAAUGGAGUCCUAUCUAUAUAUGUCCUAGGCACCUCAAAGCAUGGUCAUUUGAUCCUAAUACUAUGGAAAAUAGCUUAAUUAUUAAGAUAUACAUUUUGGUCUAAAAUGGUCCCAAAUAAAUCAUUUUUAAAGCAGUAUGUCUUUCAUGCCUUUCAUCCCGCUUUAGUACGGCGCACAUAAAGAGCUGCGCGAGGACAUGGGAAGGGCUGAUGCUUUUUUGCGAAACAUUUACGUGGGUCCGUAAGGUGUACGCAGUGACACUCACUUUAAAGAACAAUUAAUGAUAAAGGCUUCAAUCCUAAACGAACUAUUGUAUUCAGUGUCUGAAGCUAAGAUCAACAUUACGUACAUUACAAUCUUAUAUAUUCAUUUCUUCUCAUUGUUCAGUUCAUUGUACAUUUGAAAAUUAUUCUGGGUUGAAUCUGGAAAAAUGACUUUUUGCCCUUUGGCAUGGCAACACGGCAAUCGGAAAUCCUAGAGCCCUAACCCAUACCGCUUCGUACACUGUUUCAGUUCCUUUCACAAUAUACAUGUAGCAACACUGAGAACGUGUAUGAAGUGAUUAUGGCUUUAUUUCAAUGCACGUUGUGGUGAAGCUUGUACGCAUGAAGCGCCGUCUGGCGCCGCUUUGGGUACUGCAGCUCCAGUACACCUGCCUCAUGAUUAGCAUAACAAAGGCUGCCGUGAGUCGCCAUCACGCGACUAACCCGGAAGUCAGGCACGGUUUCACAACUAAAAGAGGAGCUUCUUUUUCUUGCCGGUUUCUCCGGACAACAGAACUUCGCAAAAUUCACAAAAGAACACCUUAAGAGAACGAAAAACUACUUCACAGCCUCCUAGACUUGGCCUAACGGAUUUGCGGCACCAUUGGGAGGCACCGGUGUGUCUGGCUACAGCAGAAAACACAUGGAAGAGAAGGAAAAGAAUGAGAAGACAGCAGAAGAGAUUGCAGCAAUUAAGAAAGCGCGGAAGCUGUUCCAGUUUUCCAAAGGUAAGAUCCGGACAGACGAUGUUUGAAGCAGCUCAACAUUUGGUGAGACGUAUCUUUUCAUCGAUCAGUGAACACAUGUAUAUAUAUUAUUUAUGUAUAUAUCAGGACAUCAAUAAAGUUUAUCUUUUGUCAUUGUAUGGUGAAUCAUGUCCCUGCAUAAGCUAUGUAAACAGGGAUACAUUUUGUAUUCAGUGUAUUCUAUGUUGUGCAAGUAAGUGAACACCUUUCUUUGAGAGUUGUUUAUGUACGAGGGGCGGUCAAUACGUAAUGCCACUUCCAGUUGUCUAAUCUAAAUAAAAUUUUGAAUGUGUAAUGAUUCAUAUCUCUAUGGGUUAUGUUGCAAAAAACACCUCUGAACUAAUUGUGGUUUCUGAUUUACUGGUGUUUGAACUGAGUCAGGUGUGAAAUGGACCAGGUGUGAAAUGGAGCCAGUUGAGUGUCGCGCAGUGAUCCGGUAUUUGGCGGGCGUCUCAUGGACCCCGCCUAACAUUAUAGUGAGCAACCGUUUGACAAGAAUUCUCGGAAUUCCGCAGGCAUCUGUGGAAUUUUUCUACAGCCCCGCCCGCCCGUGUUCAGUCACGUGACCUGACCCCGCCGAAACAGGGGUAAACAACUGGUCUUGCCACUUUCUCAGGCGAUACCUCAAAAAUCCCUGCACCAAAACACAAAUGCUAUACACCAAAAUAAAGGGAAUUUUGUUGUCUAAAUACACUGUUAAUGGCUUUAACAUAGGUGCUAAACUCGAUGAGAUAUUUUCCGGAACGUCCGGCAAAUGCCCCUUCUUCCGCGCUCGGCGCUGGGGGCUUCGUGCGGACAGAAACUUCCGCGGGAGGGUCUGCAUGGGGGGUCCCGACAAUGAUUUACGCUGAAGUCAGAAGAACGCCCUACGUAUUACGCAAAAUCAAGGAUGGCAAUUACGCUAAAUUUGGUCACCUCGCUACGAAUUACGCAGAUAUUCAUAAGAUGGUUUUCCCUACGAAUUACGGGAAAUAAAAAUAGGCUGCCUACGAAUAGGCCAAGGAAGACGUGGCUGGACAAUAUCAAGACAUGGACUGGCCUAAGCACUGAACAGCUCAUCAGAGGGGCAGAGGACAGAGCGAGAUGGGCACGGAUCACUGCUACUGGAUGUCGGGGAGCCCCUACGACCACUGAGGUUACGGGCCGUGAGUGAGAUAUGGCCUUAGUUGCUGAAGAUCA
Long non-coding RNA from Branchiostoma floridae (Florida lancelet), 4442 nucleotides. RefSeq lists it as uncharacterized. NCBI's taxonomy places the organism in Eukaryota, Metazoa, Chordata, Leptocardii, Amphioxiformes, Branchiostomatidae. The transcript is spliced from 7 exons. The record is from RefSeq and is a predicted model, not a curated record.